AUGCAUGUUCGCUCUUUAGAACUAAGUGCAAGUCUUGAUCGUUCAUGUUUCAACUCACUCCUUUCUUCCAUGCCACUGCAGAUAUCGGGCAACAUCACAGAGCACCAUCACCUUUGUAUGUGGAGACUCUGGAAAGCUGGCCUAGCUGCUAGACAACCCAAUGAUCACAUAAGCAGAUGUACGUAUUUCCAACUGACCUUAGAUAAGCUCGUGUUGCGUCGAUGGUUGCAGACACUGAAGAGACAUCCAUGUUUAGCUCCGGCGGCCAUUCUUCAACCCCGAUCUCAUUGGCCAGAUGUUACCGAAAAAGGCUUUCGCCCCGCUUUAUAUAUAAAGCACCAAACCAUAAGCAUCCAGUACAACCACACGCCACGCCACCGCAACACACGCACCCACCCAAGACAGGAUACAUAG
Molecule: ribosomal RNA, 414 nt
Filed under: Triticum aestivum (bread wheat)
Lineage: Eukaryota; Viridiplantae; Streptophyta; Magnoliopsida; Poales; Poaceae
Description: partial small subunit ribosomal RNA
Source: RNAcentral